Molecule: signal recognition particle RNA, 267 nt
Filed under: Solirubrobacterales bacterium
Lineage: Bacteria; Bacillati; Actinomycetota; Thermoleophilia; Solirubrobacterales
Description: Bacterial large signal recognition particle RNA
Rfam family: Bacterial large signal recognition particle RNA
About the family: The signal recognition particle (SRP) is a universally conserved ribonucleoprotein involved in the co-translational targeting of proteins to membranes.
Source: Rfam by way of RNAcentral
CCGUGCUAGGCGGGGAAUUAGCGGUGCCCUGUACCCGCAAUCCGCUCUAGCGGGGCCGAACGCUCGACCGAGGGUCGUGGCCAUCGGGGCCAGUACGCCGCGGGCGGUGUUGACGGCCAGGUCCCGCGCAAUGCGCGUCCGCGAAUCAGGUCAGGUCCGGAAGGAAGCAGCCUUAAGCGGUGCCGAGCAUGUGCCGCGGGUAAGCCUGACCCGAGCCAGCCACGGCGGGCACGCCCGGGGACCAUUCUCGAGGUCGGGCCCGCACGG